This 403-nucleotide ribosomal RNA is filed under the name bacterium. Its description in RNAcentral is "partial 16S ribosomal RNA". It matches the Rfam family "Bacterial small subunit ribosomal RNA", at positions 355 to 776 of the family's 1533-position model. The record is from RNAcentral.
UGGGGAAUCUUGCACAAUGGGGGAAACCCUGAUGCAGCGACGCCGCGUGAGCGAUGAAGGUUUUCGAAUCGUAAAGCUCUGUCCUAUGGGAAGAUAAUGACGGUACCAUAGGAGGAAGCCCCGGCUAACUACGUGCCAGCAGCCGCGGUAAUACGAAGGGGGCGAGCGUUGUCCGGAAUUACGGGGCGUAAAGGGUUCGCAGGCGGCAUGACAAGUCCGAUGUAAAAGGCGAAAGCUCAACUGUCGUAAGCAUCGGAAACUGUCAAGCUUGAGUGAAGGAGAGGCAAGUGGUAUUCCUAGUGUAGCGGUGGAAUGCGUAGAUAUUAGGAGGAAUACCGGUGGCGAAGGCGACUUGCUGGACUUCAACUGACGCUGAGGAACGAAAGCGUGGGUAGCAAACAGG